AGUUAAUGAUGAUUUAAAAUAUAAGAGUAGUGGACAGAAGUCAUUUCUGAGUAAAUCUACCACUGAGACU
This 70-nucleotide small nucleolar RNA is filed under the name Gouania willdenowi (blunt-snouted clingfish). RNAcentral describes it as "Small nucleolar RNA SNORD75 (ENSGWIG00000008594.1)". It matches the Rfam family "Small nucleolar RNA SNORD75". From Rfam's summary of the family: U75 (SNORD75) belongs to the C/D class of snoRNAs which contain the C (UGAUGA) and D (CUGA) box motifs. Most of the members of the box C/D family function in directing site-specific 2'-O-methylation of substrate RNAs. The record is from Rfam by way of RNAcentral. Lineage: Eukaryota; Metazoa; Chordata; Actinopteri; Blenniiformes; Gobiesocidae.